Molecule: ribosomal RNA, 490 nt
Filed under: Eurystomella foraminigera
Lineage: Eukaryota; Metazoa; Bryozoa; Gymnolaemata; Cheilostomatida; Eurystomellidae
Description: partial 16S ribosomal RNA
Rfam family: Bacterial large subunit ribosomal RNA
Source: RNAcentral
UGUCUGCCCGGUGANUGAGGAGUUUAACGGCCGCGUUUUCGUGCUAAGGUAGCAUAAUCAUUUGCCUUUUCAUUGGAGGCUAGUAUGAAAGGAUUAACGAAGUCUAACUGUCUCUGCUUAUAUUAGUAAAAAUUGAUUUUAAAGUGAAAAAUCUUUAAUCUUUUUAAAGGACGAGAAGACCCUAUAGAGUUUGUAAUGUAAUGAUAAGCGGAAUGGUUUCGUGUAGAGAAGAAAAUGCCUUGUUGAUCAUGCAUUUUUAUUGGGGCAAUAAUAGAAAUUUGAAAAUUCUAAUUAAAUGAAUUUACUACUGUAAGAUAAUUAAAAUCCUUAAAAAGAAUUUAAAAACUACCUUAGGGAUAACAGCGUAAUUCUACCAGAGAGAUCUGAUCGAAGGAAGAGUUUGCGACCUCGAUGUUGGACUAAGAGAACCUUAAAGUGCAGAAGCUUUAGUAGGUAAGCCUGUUCGGCUUUUAAAAUCUUACAUGAUCUG